This 303-nucleotide ribosomal RNA is filed under the name uncultured bacterium. RNAcentral describes it as "partial 16S ribosomal RNA". It matches the Rfam family "Bacterial small subunit ribosomal RNA", at positions 507 to 808 of the family's 1533-position model. The record is from RNAcentral.
AGCAGUCGCCGCGGGAAUACGUAGGUUGCGUGCGUUAAUCGGAAUUACUGGGCGUAAAGCGUGCGCAGGCGGUUUUGUAAGACAGGCGUGAAAUCCCCGGGCUCAACCUGGGAAUGGCGCUUGUGACUGCAAAGCUAGAGUGCGGCAGAGGGGGAUGGAAUUCCGCGUGUAGCAGUGAAAUGCGUAGAUAUGCGGAGGAACACCGAUGGCGAAGGCAAUCCCCUGGGCCUGCACUGACGCUCAUGCACGAAAGCGUGGGAGCAAACAGGAUUAGAUACCCCCGUAGUCCCUGUCUCUUAUACA